RNAcentral lists this ribosomal RNA (437 nucleotides) under Oedemera sexualis. RNAcentral describes it as "partial 16S ribosomal RNA". The stretch from base 317 to 437 matches the Rfam family "Bacterial large subunit ribosomal RNA", at positions 2473 to 2595 of the family's 2925-position model. The record is from RNAcentral. Lineage: Eukaryota; Metazoa; Arthropoda; Insecta; Coleoptera; Oedemeridae.
CUGUGCAAAGGUAGCAUAAUCAUUAGUUUUUUAAUUGGAAGCUGGAAUGAAGGGUUGGAUAAGAAAAAUUCUGUCUUAAUUUUAAAAUUAUAAUUUUAUUUUUAAGUUAAAAAGCUUAAAUUUUUUAAAAAGACGAGAAGACCCUAUAGAGUUUUAUUUAAUUGGUUGUAUUUUAUUUUAGAUUUUAAUUUUAUUAUAUAAUUGGUAUUAUUUUAUUGGGGUGAUGUAAAAAUUUAUUUAACUUUUUAUUUAUUUAUACACGAAUUAGUGGUUAAUUGAUCCUGAUUUUUAGAUUAAAAGAAUAAAUUACCUUAGGGAUAACAGCGUAAUUUUUUUUAGAGUUCUAAUUGAAAAAAAAGUUUGCGACCUCGAUGUUGGAUUAAAGUUAAAUUAUGGUGUAGAAGCUAUAAGGUUAGGUCUGUUCGACCUUUAAAACU